GGUACUAUCUGGAAAGCUAGUUGAAAGCUUUAGAGAGGUUUUUGAGCCUCUUUGAGCUGAACGUGUACUCUUGGGAGCUGGUUUGGAGGGUAUUCUAAUCAAGGCGAGAGUGCGACCGAGCUUUAGAGCACCUUUAGUGGACUUGUGAGGGCUCUUGGAGACUCAUCUUGAGCAGAGUUGAGACCUUGUGGAGCGGACUUUGGG
This is a long non-coding RNA of Ananas comosus (pineapple), 204 nucleotides long. RefSeq lists it as uncharacterized. Lineage: Eukaryota; Viridiplantae; Streptophyta; Magnoliopsida; Poales; Bromeliaceae. The transcript has 4 exons. The record is from RefSeq and is a predicted model, not a curated record.